Molecule: non-coding RNA, 45 nt
Filed under: Echinostoma caproni
Lineage: Eukaryota; Metazoa; Platyhelminthes; Trematoda; Plagiorchiida; Echinostomatidae
Source: RNAcentral
GCCUUGAUGACGAGUCCCAAACAGGACGAAACAGAUGUCCAGUGC